Molecule: non-coding RNA, 251 nt
Organism: Pelobates cultripes (western spadefoot toad)
Lineage: Eukaryota; Metazoa; Chordata; Amphibia; Anura; Pelobatidae
Source: the annotation of a GenBank genome assembly
GCUUAAUACAAUGAUGUUGUCAUUAGUCAUUGACCUGUGUUGUAUUGUUAACUCUACCCUAAUGGAAACCAUCCACCCAAACAUCAACCCAGGUGUUGGCAAAGGAGGAGUGGGACGUUUAGACAAUGUGCAAUAACAUCUCCUUGACAGCAGUUGAUGGAUGGUGUUAGUUUUAAUUAUUAUGAAAGGCUCCACUGCACAAAUGAGUCAAUUUUGCCUCUUUAUACCAACAUUUUCUAUUGAUUUAUGGG